This 484-nucleotide ribosomal RNA is filed under the name uncultured bacterium. Its description in RNAcentral is "partial 16S ribosomal RNA". It matches the Rfam family "Bacterial small subunit ribosomal RNA", at positions 30 to 507 of the family's 1533-position model. The record is from RNAcentral.
AUUGAACGCUGGCGGAAUGCUUUACACAUGCAAGUCGAGCGGCAGCACGGGGGCAACCCUGGUGGCGAGCGGCGAACGGGUGAGUAAUACAUCGGAACAUGCCCAGUCGUGGGGGAUAACACUUCGAAAGAAGUGCUAAUACCGCAUACGUCCUGAGGGAGAAAGCGGGGGAUCGCAAGACCUCGCGCCAUUGGAGUGGCCGAUUUCGGAUUAGCUAGUUGGUGGGGUAAGGGCCUACCAAGGCAACGAUCUGUAGCUGGUCUGAGAGGAGGAUCAGCCACCCUGGAGCUGAGACACCGCCCAGACUCCUACGGGAGGCAGCAGUGGCGAAUUUUGGACAAUGGGGGCAACCCUGAUCCAGCCAUUCCGCGUGAGUGAAGAAGGCCUUCGGGUUGUAAAGCUCUUUCGGCAGGAACGAAACGGUGAGCUCUAACAUAGCUCGCUAAUGACGGUACCUGAAGAAGAAGCACCGGCUAACUACGUG